This 501-nucleotide ribosomal RNA is filed under the name uncultured bacterium. RNAcentral's name for it is "partial 16S ribosomal RNA". It matches the Rfam family "Bacterial small subunit ribosomal RNA", at positions 28 to 507 of the family's 1533-position model. The record is from RNAcentral.
GACGAACGCUGGCGGCGUGCCUAAUACAUGCAAGUCGAGCGGACCGGAUUGGGGCUUGCCUUGAUUCGGUCAGCGGCGGACGGGUGAGUAACACGUGGGCAACCUGCCCGCAAGACCGGGAUAACUCCUGGAAACCGGAGCUAAUACCGGAUAACACCGAAGACCGCAUGUUCUUCGGUUGAAAGACGCCCUUUGGGCUGUCACUUGCGGAUGUGCCCUCUGCGCAUUAGCUAGUUGGUGAGGUAACGGCUCAACAAGUCGACGAUGCGUAGCCGGCCUGGGAGGGUGAACGGCCACACUGGGACGGAGAAACGGCCCAGACUCCUACGGGAGGCAGCAGUAGGGAAUCUUCCGAAAUGGGCGAAAGCCUGACGGAGCGACGCCGCGUGAGCGAAGAAGGCCUUCGGGUCGUAAAGCUCUGUUGGGAGGGAAGAAGGAGCGUCGUUCGAAGAGGGCGGCGCGGUGACGGUACCUAACGAGAAAGCCACGGCUAACUACGUG